CUCCACUGGAGUUUAUUACGCAAGUCCAGGAUUGGGUCAACAAGCAAACUGUGGGGUGACAAGGAUUGAGGGGGUGUCACCAGUGGAGAAGCUGAGGGCAGUAGUCAGAAAUCUGUAAUUGCCAAUGGAUCAAGGAUAGUACUGUUGGAAGAUACCAACAUCCUUCAGCAUAAGAAUGCUUAAUAGGCUAACCUGUAUCACAGCUGAAACUUUGUGAAAUUUGAUUAUAGGGUAUUCAGUCUCCUAUGUCCAGUGAAGAAGUGUUUAAUAGCUGGAAGGCUAGCAGAAUUCAGUUAAUUUUUGUCUGUGUUAAGCUACAGUUUCAUUAAAACUGUGCCAGGACUUUUGGAGUUUUAUAUAUGUUAAUGUGGAAUAAAAGUGUUACUGUUGUGCUUCAAAAGCCAAAUUUUUAUUCAGCAGCAGUGCACUUGUAAGUGCUACACAUUAAUGGUUAGUUUUUAGAAGCCUGCUACAAAAAUUUAUGUCUCAAAGGAAUUUUGCUUUUGUUUUUCAGUCUUGAAAAUUGAUAAGAGGCAGUAGUCCUGAGGCCUGGGGUUUAUGCUCUGGCAGAGUAUGUCAUCAAUCCUUCUCAAAAUGGCUGGAGAAGGCUUAUGAACGUUUCCUAUGCCUGGGUUUCUAAAAUUGCUUCUAUAGUUUGCCAGCAGUGAAAGAAAUGAAUCAGACAACUGAGAAUAUUUUAUACCUUCUUGCCUUUGAGAAAAGUCUUAAUGUGAUUAGGAUAACUAGAAUCACUUGAGUGUUAUGAGCAAUCUGAAUACAAGAAGCAUUUAAGGUGUUUGUUUUCUUAUUAAAUUCAUUCAUUUUCCCAAAUGUUAAGAUAAGGAAGGAUUAGACAACUGUAUCUUUGUAAGUAAUGUUUUUAAUAAAAACUUCCUGGUCUGGUUCA
Molecule: long non-coding RNA, 907 nt
Organism: Tympanuchus pallidicinctus (lesser prairie-chicken)
Lineage: Eukaryota; Metazoa; Chordata; Aves; Galliformes; Phasianidae
Exons: 3
Source: RefSeq, a predicted model, not a curated record